Long non-coding RNA from Oenanthe melanoleuca, 1149 nucleotides. RefSeq lists it as uncharacterized. The record is from RefSeq and is a predicted model, not a curated record. Lineage: Eukaryota; Metazoa; Chordata; Aves; Passeriformes; Muscicapidae. The transcript has 2 exons.
GAAAGGUGGAUUUGGGGUAGAGAACAGAGAGAAAUCUCCUCUCCAGAGGCAAAGGUCCCUUCCCAAAAGCAAAAAUCUCCUUCCCAGCAGUGGGAGGACACCUGGACACCCCCUCACCCCCUCCCACCUUUCUCUCCCAAAACCCCCCUGGGCAGUUUUGACCCUCUCCAGUGGAUUGUUGCACUUUGCUCUAAUCAAAGCCGUGGCCGGUGCUGGGCCGUGCCGCCGCUCCCGGGGAUCCUCCCGGUGCAGCCGGGCCGGGCCCAGCCCGAGCUCCGUUAGCAAAGGCUCGGCUCUAACUCAGGCCGAGCCUUAAACCCCCCGGCAGGGCUGCACCCCUGGGGACGGCAGGAACAGCCCCCGGCUGCUUUGGGGGUUAUCGAUGGGUUUAUUAGUGGGGUUAUCAGUGGGGUUAUCAAUGGGUUAAUCAAUGGGUAUCAGUGGGUUUAUCAAUGGGGUUAUCAGUGGGUUAAUCAAUGGGGUUAUCAGUGGGUUAAUCAGUUGGGUUAUCAGUGGGUUUAUUAUCAGUGGGUUUAUCAAUGAGCUGUUUAUUGGAGGGUUUAUCAAUGGGUUUAUUAUCGAUGGGUUUAUCAAUGGGCUGUUUAUUGGAGGGUUUGUGAAUGGGAUGUGUGGUGGAUUUUAUGAAUGGCUUGAUGGAUGUGUUUAGCAGUGACUCGUGCCUGCAUUGAUAACCAAACCUCCACAAGCUCGGGAGGAGCAUUCCAGGGAUCCUCUGUCGGGCGUUUUCCUUCUUUUGGGUUGUUUGCUGAAGAAAGAGCUCAGAUUGGACUCUAUUUAUUGUAACAUUUCACUUUAAUCUGAAUCCGUGUCCUCUGUGUGUGUGACCAUCCCUGACUGUUCCCGAGCUUGGCUCUCGGGCUCCCUGUGCUGCACUGAACUUGUGCAGUUUUUAUACUAAAAACCAAAAAUAAAGAUUAUUUUGAAAAUUUAAACGAACUAACAGAUUUCUGUUGGGCCUCUGAGAACCCCUUUGGCUGCUGCCAGCCGGGGGUUUCCUCAUUUCUUUCCUUUUUCCUGCUGGGUUGGGAACUUCCUCUUUCGGGGUUAUUAUUUUUGGGGGAGUAUUUAGGUUUUUUCCUGCACUCAGGCACCCACAUAUUCCUUCCACGGUUGGCUUCAUAAAUUAAG